AGAGUUUGAUCAUGGCUCAGGAUGAACGCUGGCGGCGUGCCUAAUACAUGCAAGUCGAGCGAACGGACGAGAAGCUUGCUUCUCUGAUGUUAGCGGCGGACGGGUGAGUAACACGUGGAUAACCUACCUAUAAGACUGGGAUAACUUCGGGAAACCGGAGCUAAUACCGGAUAAUAUUUUGAACCGCAUGGUUCAAAAGUGAAAGACGGUCUUGCUGUCACUUAUAGAUGGAUCCGCGCUGCAUUAGCUAGUUGGUAAGGUAACGGCUUACCAAGGCAACGAUGCAUAGCCGACCUGAGAGGGUGAUCGGCCACACUGGAACUGAGACACGGUCCAGACUCCUACGGGAGGCAGCAGUAGGGAAUCUUCCGCAAUGGGCGAAAGCCUGACGGAGCAACGCCGCGUGAGUGAUGAAGGUCUUCGGAUCGUAAAACUCUGUUAUUAGGGAAGAACAUAUGUGUGAGUAACUGUGCACAUCUUGACGGUACCUAAUCAGAAAGCCACGGCUAACUACGUGCCAGCAGCCGCGGUAAUACGUAGGUGGCAAGCGUUAUCCGGAAUUAUUGGGCGUAAAGCGCGCGUAGGCGGUUUUUUAAGUCUGAUGUGAAAGCCCACGGCUCAACCGUGGAGGGUCAUUGGAAACUGGAAAACUUGAGUGCAGAAGAGGAAAGUGGAAUUCCAUGUGUAGCGGUGAAAUGCGCAGAGAUAUGGAGGAACACCAGUGGCGAAGGCGACUUUCUGGUCUGUAACUGACGCUGAUGUGCGAAAGCGUGGGGAUCAAACAGGAUUAGAUACCCUGGUAGUCC
RNAcentral lists this ribosomal RNA (806 nucleotides) under uncultured bacterium. Its description in RNAcentral is "bacterial SSU rRNA". It matches the Rfam family "Bacterial small subunit ribosomal RNA", at positions 8 to 796 of the family's 1533-position model. The record is from RNAcentral.